This 656-nucleotide ribosomal RNA is filed under the name Clostridium botulinum C/D str. BKT2873. RNAcentral's name for it is "bacterial LSU rRNA". It matches the Rfam family "Bacterial large subunit ribosomal RNA", at positions 1054 to 1713 of the family's 2925-position model. The record is from RNAcentral. Lineage: Bacteria; Bacillati; Bacillota; Clostridia; Eubacteriales; Clostridiaceae.
GUAAGUUAAGUGGGAAAGGAUGUGGGAUUUCUAAGACAACUAGGAUGUUGGCUUAGAAGCAGCCACUCAUUUAAAGAGUGCGUAAUAGCUCACUAGUCGAGAGAUCCUGCGCCGAAGAUGUAACGGGGCUCAAACUUACCACCGAAGCUAUGGAUGUGUACUUUGUACACGUGGUAGAGGAGCUUUCUGUACAGGUUGAAGUCAUACCGUAAGGAGUGGUGGACAGUACAGAAGUGAGAAUGCUGGCAUAAGUAGCGAAAAACAAGUGAGAAUCUUGUUGACCGAAUAUCUAAGGUUUCCUGGGGAAGGCUCGUCCUCCCAGGGUUAGUCGGGACCUAAGCCGAGGCCGAAAGGCGUAGGUGAUGGACAACUGGUUGAUAUUCCAGUACCACCAUAAUGCGUUUGACAAAUGGGAUGACGCAGGAGGAUAGGAUGUGCGCACUAUUGGAUGUGCGUCUAAGCACUUAGGGUGUUAAGUAGGCAAAUCCGCUUAACAUUAAGCCUGAGGUGUGAUGGGGAGCCUAUUUUGGCGAAGUAUCUGAUUCCACGCUGCCAAGAAAAGUCUCUAUGGAGCAAAAUGGUGCCCGUACCGCAAACCGACACAGGUAGAUGAGGAGAGAAUCCUAAGGUCGUCGGAAGAAUUAUUGCUAAGGAAC